UGAAACCGUUCGGGGGUAAACGGACAGAGCCCGUGAAUCCGGGCGGCGGAAUUCAGAAUUGGUCGGGUGCGUCGACGAGGCGCGGUCGAACGGUUUGAUGUUUCCGUCGUCGAAGCGGACGUCGCGACCCGUUCGACGUCGGUCCUCGUCGCCUUCUCUCUCUAUAGAGAGGGGACGGCGGAGGAGCCGCGAACGAGUUCGUUGCGCGCGCGUGCGACCCGUUUUUGGUCCGUUCGUCCUUGUGGCGGACGGGGUGUACGACGAGUCGUUUGGUGCGCGCGGCGAAGUCGCGGAUUUCUUUGAUCGGCUGGUCGGACGGUAUGCGUGUACGGUGGGCGGCGGUUACCUGCUGUGCUCGCGAGAGUCUGUAGUGUUUCCGCACGUUACCGGUCGGCGACGAUUUCUUCGGGCCU
This 413-nucleotide ribosomal RNA is filed under the name Callococcus leptospermi. RNAcentral's name for it is "partial large subunit ribosomal RNA". Lineage: Eukaryota; Metazoa; Arthropoda; Insecta; Hemiptera; Eriococcidae. The record is from RNAcentral.